Molecule: transfer RNA, 78 nt
Filed under: Levilactobacillus brevis
Lineage: Bacteria; Bacillati; Bacillota; Bacilli; Lactobacillales; Lactobacillaceae
Also listed under: 1 other name
Description: tRNA-OTHER
Rfam family: tRNA
About the family: Transfer RNA (tRNA) molecules are approximately 80 nucleotides in length.
Source: RNAcentral
GACCCUUAGCUCAACAGGGUAGAUCAACAGUUCCCUAAACUAAACUGUAGGUUGCAAGUUCAAUUCUCGCAGGGUUAA